GAAUUCGCCCUUAGAGUUUGAUCCUGGCUCAGGACGAACGCUGGCGGCGCGCCUAACACAUGCAAGUCGAACGAGCGAGAGGAGGUUUACUUUCUCAAGCGAGUGGCGAACGGGUGAGUAACGCGUGAGGAACCUGCCUCAAAGAGGGGGACAACAGUUGGAAACGACUGCUAAUACCGCAUAAGCCCACGACCCGGCAUCGGGUAGAGGGAAAAGGAGCAAUCCGCUUUGAGAUGGCCUCGCGUCCGAUUAGCUAGUUGGUGAGGUAAUGGCCCACCAAGGCGACGAUCGGUAGCCGGACUGAGAGGUUGAACGGCCACAUUGGGACUGAGACACGGCCCAGACUCCUACGGGAGGCAGCAGUGGGGAAUAUUGCACAAUGGGGGAAACCCUGAUGCAGCGACGCCGCGUGGAGGAAGAAGGUCUUCGGAUUGUAAACUCCUGUUGUUGAGGAAGAUAAUGACGGUACUCAACAAGGAAGUGACGGCUAACUACGUGCCAGCAGCCGCGGUAAAACGUAGGUCACAAGCGUUGUCCGGAAUUACUGGGUGUAAAGGGAGCGCAGGCGGGAAGACAAGUUGGAAGUGAAAUCCAUGGGCUCAACCCAUGAACUGCUUUCAAAACUGUUUUUCUUGAGUAGUGCAGAGGUAGGCGGAAUUCCCGGUGUAGCGGUGGAAUGCGUAGAUAUCGGGAGGAACACCAGUGGCGAAGGCGGCCUACUGGGCACCAACUGACGCUGAGGCUCGAAAGUGUGGGUAGCAAACAGGAUUAGAUACCCUGGUAGUCCACACUGUAAACGAUGAUUACUAGGUGUUGGAGGAUUGACCCCUUCAGUGCCGCAGUUAACACAAUAAGUAAUCCACCUGGGGAGUACGACCGCAAGGUUGAAACUCAAAGGAAUUGACGGGGGCCCGCACAAGCAGUGGAGUAUGUGGUUUAAUUCGACGCAACGCGAAGAACCUUACCAAGUCUUGACAUCCUGCGACGGUGCUGGAAACAGUACUUUCCUUCGGGACGCAGAGACAGGUGGUGCAUGGUUGUCGUCAGCUCGUGUCGUGAGAUGUUGGGUUAAGUCCCGCAACGAGCGCAACCCUUAUGGUCAGUUACUACGCAAGAGGACUCUGGCCAGACUGCCGUUGACAAAACGGAGGAAGGUGGGGAUGACGUCAAAUCAUCAUGCCCCUUAUGAGCAGGGCUACACACGUGCUACAAUGGCGUAAACAGAGGGAAGCGAAGGAGUGAUCUGGAGCAAAUCUCAAAAAUAACGUCUCAGUUCGGAUUGUAGUCUGCAACUCGACUACAUGAAGCUGGAAUCGCUAGUAAUCGCAGAUCAGAAUGCUGCGGUGAAUACGUUCCCGGGUCUUGUACACACCGCCCGUCA
This 1381-nucleotide ribosomal RNA is filed under the name uncultured bacterium. RNAcentral describes it as "bacterial SSU rRNA". It matches the Rfam family "Bacterial small subunit ribosomal RNA". The record is from RNAcentral.